RNAcentral lists this long non-coding RNA (717 nucleotides) under Bemisia tabaci. RNAcentral's name for it is "lncRNA ENSSSA2NGG005312". The record is from RNAcentral. Lineage: Eukaryota; Metazoa; Arthropoda; Insecta; Hemiptera; Aleyrodidae.
CCGUGUCGCAAACCGAGAUACGUGGUUGCGAGCCUACACCGUCGAUAUCGUCUCACAUCGUGCCGACUGUAAGAGGAUGAAGUCGUACGCAAGAAUGGAAAGUGAAAGAACAAAGAAAGUGGCUCUAAUUCAAGCAAUCGGUACAGCGAACCACCUACCUGCUACCUUCAGGAUGAUUACCCGGAGCUUUAUUUUGAACUCACUAAAAGCCAGCAUUUGCCGCAUUUGAAAGACAAAUUAAAACGAAUAUGUGCUAAUUCGAAGAUUCAAAAAAGGUACAUGCUCCCGAUGGAGGAGAUCGUUGAAAAGAACCCUAACAUACGUACAUAUGGAGCACCAUCCCUCGACGCUCGUCAGGACAUUCUCGUAAAAGAAGUACCGAAGCUCGCCAUGGAGGCGGCAACGAAGGCCAUCGAAGAGUGGGGCGAACCCGCGGCGAGUAUCACGCACCUCAUAUUUUGCACGUCAUCGGAAAUAAGCGCGCCCAGUGCUGAUCGUCGGCUAGCUAAACUUAUCGGACUUAAACCAUCGGUUCAAAAAUUCAUAAUCUACCAGCAAGGUUGCUACGCCGGCGGGACUGCCCUCCGCCUCGGCAAAGACGUGGUCGAGAACAACGAAGACGCUCAUGUUCUCGUCGUUUGCUGCGAGAUCUACAGCCUUUGCCGUUUUCAAGGACCCUCCGAGACCCGGAUGGACAUUCUAGUGGGGCGGCGCUGA